GAGGGGUGCCUGAGUGGUUAAAAGGGGCGGACUGUAAAUCCGUUGGCUAUGCCUACGCUGGUUCAAAUCCAGCCUCCUCC
RNAcentral lists this transfer RNA (80 nucleotides) under Diaphanoeca grandis. It matches the Rfam family "tRNA". Rfam says of the family: Transfer RNA (tRNA) molecules are approximately 80 nucleotides in length. Their secondary structure includes four short double-helical elements and three loops (D, anti-codon, and T loops). Further hydrogen bonds mediate the characteristic L-shaped molecular structure. tRNAs have two regions of fundamental functional importance: the anti-codon, which is responsible for specific mRNA codon recognition, and the 3' end, to which the tRNAs corresponding amino acid is attached (by aminoacyl-tRNA synthetases). tRNAs cope with the degeneracy of the genetic code in two manners: having more than one tRNA (with a specific anti-codon) for a particular amino acid; and 'wobble' base-pairing, i.e. permitting non-standard base-pairing at the 3rd anti-codon position. The record is from RNAcentral. Lineage: Eukaryota; Choanoflagellata; Acanthoecida; Stephanoecidae. RNAcentral also lists the same sequence under 1 other name.